AUUGAACGCUGGCGGAAUGCUUUACACAUGCAAGUCGAACGGCAGCACGGACUUCGGUCUGGUGGCGAGUGGCGAACGGGUGAGUAAUGUAUCGGAACGUGCCCAGUCGUGGGGGAUAACGUAGUGAAAAUUACGCUAAUACCGCAUACGAUCUAUGGAUGAAGGCGGGGGAUCGCAAGACCUCGCGCGAUUGGAGCGGCCGAUAUCCGAUUAGGUCGUUGGUGGGGUAAAGGCCCACCAAGCCAACGAUCUGUAGCUGGUCUGAGUGGACGGCCAGCCACACUGGAACGGAGACACGGUCGAGACUCCUACGGGAGGCAGCAGUGGGGAAUUUUGGACAAUGGGCGAAGGCCUGAUCCAGCCAUUCCGCGUGCAGGAUGAAGGCCCUCGGGUUGUAAACUGCUUUUGUACAGAACGAAAAGGUUUCUACUAAUACUAGGAGCUCAUGACGGUACUGUAAGAAUAAGCACCGGCUAACUACGUGCCAGCCGCCGCGGUAA
RNAcentral lists this ribosomal RNA (500 nucleotides) under uncultured bacterium. RNAcentral's name for it is "partial 16S ribosomal RNA". It matches the Rfam family "Bacterial small subunit ribosomal RNA", at positions 30 to 523 of the family's 1533-position model. The record is from RNAcentral.